RNAcentral lists this ribosomal RNA (304 nucleotides) under uncultured bacterium. RNAcentral's name for it is "partial 16S ribosomal RNA". It matches the Rfam family "Bacterial small subunit ribosomal RNA", at positions 506 to 809 of the family's 1533-position model. The record is from RNAcentral.
CAGCAGUAGCCGCGGGAAUACGAAGGGGGCUAGCGUUGCUCGGAAUUACUGGGCGUAAAGGGCGCGUAGGCGGACAGUUCAGUCGGGGGUGAAAGCCCGGGGCUCAACCUCGGAAUUGCCUUCGAUACUGGCUGUCUUGAGUAUGAGAGAGGUGUGUGGAACUCCGAGUGUAGAGGUGAAAUUCGUAGAUAUUCGGAAGAACACCAGUGGCGAAGGCGACACACUGGCUCAUUACUGACGCUGAGGUGCGAAAGCGUGGGGAGCAAACAGGAUUAGAUACCCGUGUAGUCCCUGUCUCUUAUAU